AUUGAACGCUGGCGGCAGGCCUAACACAUGCAAGUCGGACGGUAGCACAGAGGAGCUUGCUCCUCGGGUGACGAGUGGCGGACGGGUGAGUAAUGUCUGGGGAUCUGCCCGAUAGAGGGGGAUAACCACUGGAAACGGUGGCUAAUACCGUAUAACGUCGCAAGACCAAAGAGGGGGACCUUCGGGCCUCUCACUAUCGGAUGAACCCAGAUGGGAUUAGCUAGUAGGCGGGGUAAUGGCCCACCUAGGCGACGAUCCCUAGCUGGUCUGAGAAGAUGACCAGCCACACUGGAACUGGGACACGGUCCAGACUCCUACGGGAGGCAGCAGUGGGGAAUAUUGCACAAUGGGCGCAAGCCUGAUGCAGCCAUGCCGCGUGUAUGAAGAAGGCCUUCGGGUUGUAAAGUACUUUCAGCGGGGAGGAAGGCGAUAAGGUUAAUAACCUUGUCGAUUGACGUUACCCGCAGAAGAAGCACCGGCUAACUCCGUGCCAGCCGCCGCCGUAA
RNAcentral lists this ribosomal RNA (506 nucleotides) under uncultured bacterium. RNAcentral's name for it is "partial 16S ribosomal RNA". It matches the Rfam family "Bacterial small subunit ribosomal RNA", at positions 30 to 523 of the family's 1533-position model. The record is from RNAcentral.